UCCGAUAUAGUGUAAUGGCUAUCACACGACACUCUCCAUGUUGUGAUCCGGGUUCGAUUCCCGGUAUCGGAG
Molecule: transfer RNA, 72 nt
Organism: Candida albicans SC5314
Lineage: Eukaryota; Fungi; Ascomycota; Pichiomycetes; Serinales; Debaryomycetaceae
Rfam family: tRNA
About the family: Transfer RNA (tRNA) molecules are approximately 80 nucleotides in length.
Source: Rfam